UACGUAUGUCGCAAGCGUUAUCCGGGAAUUAUUGGGCAUAAAGGGCGUCUAGGCGGUCUAGUAAGUCUGAUGUGAAAAUGCGGGGGCUCAACUCCGUAUUGCGUUGGAAACUGCUAGACUAGAGUUUUUGGAGAGGUAGGCGGAACUACAAGUGUAGAGGUGAAAUUCGUAGAGAUUUGUAGGAAUGCCGAUGACGAAGGUAGCUUACUGGACAAAAUACUGACGCUGAAAGCGCGAAAAGCUAGGGGAGCAAAACAGG
This 259-nucleotide ribosomal RNA is filed under the name uncultured bacterium. RNAcentral's name for it is "partial 16S ribosomal RNA". It matches the Rfam family "Bacterial small subunit ribosomal RNA", at positions 524 to 776 of the family's 1533-position model. The record is from RNAcentral.